Molecule: ribosomal RNA, 465 nt
Filed under: uncultured Klebsiella sp.
Lineage: Bacteria; Pseudomonadati; Pseudomonadota; Gammaproteobacteria; Enterobacterales; Enterobacteriaceae
Description: bacterial SSU rRNA
Rfam family: Bacterial small subunit ribosomal RNA
Source: RNAcentral
CCUACGGGGGGCAGCAGUGGGGAAUAUUGCACAAUGGGCGCAAGCCUGAUGCAGCCAUGCCGCGUGUGUGAAGAAGGCCUUCGGGUUGUAAAGCACUUUCAGCGGGGAGGAAGGCGGUGAGGUUAAUAACCUCAUCGAUUGACGUUACCCGCAGAAGAAGCACCGGCUAACUCCGUGCCAGCAGCCGCGGUAAUACGGAGGGUGCAAGCGUUAAUCAGAAUUACUGGGCGUAAAGCGCACGCAGGCGGUCUGUCAAGUCGGAUGUGAAAUCCCCGGGCUCAACCUGGGAACUGCAUUCGAAACUGGCAGGCUAGAGUCUUGUAGAGGGGGGUAGAAUUCCAGGUGUAGCGGUGAAAUGCGUAGAGAUCUGGAGGAAUACCGGUGGCGAAGGCGGCCCCCUGGACAAAGACUGACGCUCAGGUGCGAAAGCGUGGGGAGCAAACAGGAUUAGAUGCCCGUGUAGUC